Molecule: long non-coding RNA, 588 nt
Filed under: Equus caballus (horse)
Lineage: Eukaryota; Metazoa; Chordata; Mammalia; Perissodactyla; Equidae
Description: lncRNA (ENSECAG00000059387.1)
Source: RNAcentral
CCGCACCCCCGCCCGCACCCCGACCACUCCUUCCUUCUCGCCUCCUUCCCUCCCUCGCUGCCCUGCGCCUCCCUUUCCCGAUUCUGCCUCCCAGCCUUCCUCCGUCUCGCGCGCUCCUUGCAGGUCCGCGUCCAUACCGUCCAGCCCCAGCCCAGCCCGCAGGUGGGGGACAGUCGCGGCCGCUGUCCAGGUCCGGUCUCCGACGCUCGAGGACAGAAGCAGCCACGGGCAGGAGCAGAACCAGCCCCCGGGGAGCCUCCUGGACCCUCCCACGCGGCAGGUUCCGCCGAACCCGUUCCUCUCACUUUCAGAUCAUCACCAGUGGUACAGUCUUAACAACUGUGUCCAGAUGGGAUGUGGCUCCCUGAUGGGUCUUCUGUAACUUAAAGUCCAACAGGUUGUGUUAUUCUCAUGGUCUGAUAUCUGAUAGAAGUCAAGAUACAAGUUCACCGGGAAAGAAAAACCAUCCUCCCUCCACCCCAAUCCUGGAAGAGUUUUCCACUCAAAGGAUACUAUGCUGGCCAUUUAUUGAUCUUCAAGCUCAAUGUGAUUGGUGAAACUAUCGUAAUUAAUCCAUGUGGUCAAAAG